AGUGAACGCUGGCGGUAGGCCUAACACAUGCAAGUCGAACGGCAGCACAGUAAGAGCCUGCUCUUACGGGUGGCGAGUGGCGGACGGGUGAGGAAUACAUCGGAAUCUACUUUUUCGUGGGGGAUAACGUAGGGAAACUUACGCUAAUACCGCAUACGACCUACGGGUGAAAGCAGGGGAUCUUCGGACCUUGCGCGAUUGAAUGAGCCGAUGUCGGAUUAGCUAGUUGGCGGGGUAAAGGCCCACCAAGGCGACGAUCCGUAGCUGGUCUGAGAGGAUGAUCAGCCACACUGGAACUGAGACACGGUCCAGACUCCUACGGGAGGCAGCAGUGGGGAAUAUUGGACAAUGGGCGCAAGCCUGAUCCAGCCAUACCGCGUGGGUGAAGAAGGCCUUCGGGUUGUAAAGCCCUUUUGUUGGGAAAGAAAAGCAGCAGGUUAAUACCCCGCUGCUCUGACGGUACCCAAAGAAUAAGCACCGGCUAACUUCGUG
RNAcentral lists this ribosomal RNA (492 nucleotides) under uncultured bacterium. RNAcentral describes it as "partial 16S ribosomal RNA". It matches the Rfam family "Bacterial small subunit ribosomal RNA", at positions 29 to 507 of the family's 1533-position model. The record is from RNAcentral.